AAUUAACUCCAAGGGAACAAACUUUCUUUAUGAAAGGAUGGACAUUGGAAGAGGUAUUUGCAAGAAAUGUCUUGCAAGUGUCAAGAACACACCUUUCGAAGGUGUUGUAAAUUGUUCUUGAAUAGUUCAAAACAGUUGGUUCUUCUACUUGAAGGCUUGAUUCCGUAUUAGUAAUUAUGUUUUACAAUCGUUGUAAAAGUGUGACUAAUAAGAAGUACAAGAUAUAUGAGAGAAGAAAAAGGUGCUUCACAUUCGAAACGUGAAUAAAAUAAAGAUCUCUGCGAAAGCAGAUAGUACUUACUUCCUCAUAUGAACUACCAAAGAAAUUGGAACAACCAAAGAUUGUCUUUACAUUCCAAUUUCAAGGAACUUAAUUUCGUCACUAUAGUAGAGAUGGAUGAAUGUUUUGUUUGACAAAACAUUGUUCUUUAUUAGUCAAUGAUUGGAUUAUA
This 452-nucleotide long non-coding RNA is filed under the name Malus domestica (apple). RNAcentral's name for it is "long non-coding RNA (MDOM_LNC019726)". The record is from RNAcentral. Lineage: Eukaryota; Viridiplantae; Streptophyta; Magnoliopsida; Rosales; Rosaceae.